GUAGGGAGCAAGCGCUGUUCGGAGUUAUUGGGGCGUAAAGAGCGCGUAGGCGGCCAGGUAAGUCUGAUGUGAAAUCCCACAGCUCAACUGUGGAACUGCAUUGGAAACUGCUUGGCUAGAGUGCGGGAGAGGAGAGUGGAAUUCCCAGUGUAGAGGUGAAAUUCGUAGAUAUUGGGAGGAACACCAGUGGCGAAGGCGGCUCUCUGGACCGCAACUGACGCUGAGGCGCGAAAGCUAGGGGAGCGAACGGGAUUAGAUACCCCGGUAGUCCUAGCCGUAAACGAUGGGCACUAGGUGUAGGAGGUAUCGACCCCUUCUGUGCCGUAGCUAACGCAUUAAGUGCCCCGCCUGGGGAGUACGGUCGCAAGACUA
This 372-nucleotide ribosomal RNA is filed under the name uncultured organism. RNAcentral describes it as "partial 16S ribosomal RNA". It matches the Rfam family "Bacterial small subunit ribosomal RNA", at positions 527 to 896 of the family's 1533-position model. The record is from RNAcentral.